GGAGAUGGACGCGCACGCUCGGGUGAAGCUGCGUCUGCAGCCGGAAGGAAACACCUGCGAGCUUCACCUGUAAUCACCUGCAGCUCCGCUGAAGCUCCAUCCUCAGAUGAUCUGAGCACGAGUCUCAGGAUAAUAACGCAGUGUUGUUCAUCCUAAACCUUCAUCUGAAACCCGCAGAAGUCUCCUCUGAACACCCCGGUUCCGGUCCGGACGGGUCAGCUCCGGCUCAUCCUCCUGACUGAUUGAAGUUUCGGUCGUGAUCCGGAAUUCCCGCGCUUUUUAAGCAUCUCAAACCUGCAGCAUCUUCAUGAACAUCAUAACCCACAGCACAGGCGGACGCUGCUCCACAGCACAGGCGGACGCUGCUCCACAGCACAGGCGGACGCUGCUCCACAGCCGGCCGUCCGGGGUUUGAUUCCCUCAGAUUAAGGCCUUAUGUAAGAGCAGCAGCGCGCGCGCCUAAUCCCAGAUUUGAGGCCCGGAGGCUCCAUUCGGCACCGGAACCACGAGGCCACGACGGUGAGGAUCCGAACUCCAGAACCUCGUUAAUGAAGACGGGG
Molecule: long non-coding RNA, 560 nt
Organism: Oryzias melastigma (Indian medaka)
Lineage: Eukaryota; Metazoa; Chordata; Actinopteri; Beloniformes; Adrianichthyidae
Exons: 3
Source: RefSeq, a predicted model, not a curated record